Non-coding RNA from Conger conger (European conger), 727 nucleotides. The record is from the annotation of a RefSeq genome assembly. NCBI's taxonomy places the organism in Eukaryota, Metazoa, Chordata, Actinopteri, Anguilliformes, Congridae.
AUGAUCAGCUUUCAGAACACCUUCUUAAUUGUAGUUCCAACAUUCUCCAGCAGGAAGCCUGUGUUUCUCGAGUAUGAGGUUUUUGUACGGCUGGUGAAUGAGUCUGUAUCACUGUGGUGGACUUUCGGUGGCGGAACGAAAGUGUCAGUUGGACGUGACACAGUUCCCACCCUCACAGUCCUGCCCCCCUCCAGUGUGAAGAUAGAGAAGGGAAAGGCCACACUGGUGUGUCUGGCCAACAAGGGCUUCCCCUCAGACUGGACUCUGCGCUGGAAAGUGGACGGUGCCAGCAGGAGCUCGGGCGUGGCCGGGAGCGUGGGGGUCCUGGGGAAGGACGGUCUGUACAGCUGGAGCAGCUCCCUGACUCUCAGUGAGGAAGACUGGAUGAAGGCAGGGUCACUGACCUGUGAGGCCACAAAGGGCUCCCUGUCUGCCCCCCCUCAGACACUGAGCAGAGCCCACUGUUCUUAGUAGGCCGGGUGGAGGCCCAGUUCACACAUUGUGAUCACACUGUUUUUACCCUGUUCUGCUCCUUACUGCUGUCACACUGAGCUGAGCCUGUGUGUGAAUCCUUCCUCCAGCCUGAGCUUUCAGUGCUAAUAUCUGACAUGUGCUCUGCUUGUGUUCUUCAGCAAUAUGCAAACAUGCAUUCUUAUUUGUGUUUCUGUGACUUUGGCAAUAGCUGUUAAAUCAACAUCAUUGACAUAAUAAAGAUUAUUUGAAUAGA